AAAAUAUUUUUCACUUUUCUUAACGUUUUAUUUAAUUUUAUAUAAUUUUUAUUUUAGUAUUUUUUUAAUAUUAAUAUUUUAUUUUAAUUAUUUAUUCUAACUGGUCCAUUUUAACACACUUUUUUUUAUUGAUUUUAUUUUUAUGACUUAAAAUUAUUGUUAGCAUGUGAUUUUUGGGAUGAAGGUUGACCACUGUCUCAUGGUCAACUUGACCUUUUCUUGGAAUUUUAUUUCUCAUUUUCAAUUUAUUUUGGAUUUAUUUUUGACCUAGUUU
This 274-nucleotide long non-coding RNA is filed under the name Lathyrus oleraceus (garden pea). Its description in RNAcentral is "Pisum sativum (pea) long non-coding RNA (PSAT_LNC013106)". The record is from RNAcentral. Lineage: Eukaryota; Viridiplantae; Streptophyta; Magnoliopsida; Fabales; Fabaceae.